RNAcentral lists this transfer RNA (73 nucleotides) under Anaerolineales bacterium. RNAcentral's name for it is "tRNA-Thr". It matches the Rfam family "tRNA". Rfam says of the family: Transfer RNA (tRNA) molecules are approximately 80 nucleotides in length. Their secondary structure includes four short double-helical elements and three loops (D, anti-codon, and T loops). Further hydrogen bonds mediate the characteristic L-shaped molecular structure. tRNAs have two regions of fundamental functional importance: the anti-codon, which is responsible for specific mRNA codon recognition, and the 3' end, to which the tRNAs corresponding amino acid is attached (by aminoacyl-tRNA synthetases). tRNAs cope with the degeneracy of the genetic code in two manners: having more than one tRNA (with a specific anti-codon) for a particular amino acid; and 'wobble' base-pairing, i.e. permitting non-standard base-pairing at the 3rd anti-codon position. Lineage: Bacteria; Bacillati; Chloroflexota; Anaerolineae; Anaerolineales. The record is from RNAcentral.
GCCCACAUAGCUCAGUCGGCAGAGCACACCCUUGGUAAGGGUGAGGUCACGAGUUCGAAUCUCGUUGUGGGCU